GACGUAGGGUCCAAGCGUUGUCCGGAUUUACUGGGCGUAAAGAGCGCGUAGGCGGCUCGUUAAGUGUGAAGUGAAAUCUCCAGGGCUCAACCCGGAAACUGCUUUACAUACUGGCGAGCUGGAGUGAUGCAGAGGUUUGUGGAAUUCCUGGUGUAACGGUGAAAUCCGUUGAUAUUAUGGGGAACACCAAAAGCGAAGGCAAUUCACUGGCACACUCCUGACGCUGAAUGACGAAGCGUGGUAGCGAAUGGG
RNAcentral lists this ribosomal RNA (252 nucleotides) under uncultured bacterium. RNAcentral's name for it is "partial 16S ribosomal RNA". It matches the Rfam family "Bacterial small subunit ribosomal RNA", at positions 524 to 776 of the family's 1533-position model. The record is from RNAcentral.